UUCAUGGAGAGUUUGAUCCUGGCUCAGGACGAACGCUGGCGGCGUGCCUAAUACAUGCAAGUCGAGCGGACCGACGGGAGCUUGCUCCCUUAGGUCAGCGGCGGACGGGUGAGUAACACGUGGGUAACCUGCCUGUAAGACUGGGAUAACUCCGGGAAACCGGGGCUAAUACCGGAUGCUUGAUUGAACCGCAUGGUUCAAUCAUAAAAGGUGGCUUUUAGCUACCACUUACAGAUGGACCCGCGGCGCAUUAGCUAGUUGGUGAGGUAACGGCUC
Molecule: ribosomal RNA, 276 nt
Filed under: Bacillus licheniformis
Lineage: Bacteria; Bacillati; Bacillota; Bacilli; Caryophanales; Bacillaceae
Description: partial 16S ribosomal RNA
Rfam family: Bacterial small subunit ribosomal RNA
Source: RNAcentral